This is a non-coding RNA of Acanthosepion pharaonis, 110 nucleotides long. The record is from the annotation of a GenBank genome assembly. NCBI's taxonomy places the organism in Eukaryota, Metazoa, Mollusca, Cephalopoda, Sepiida, Sepiidae.
GGCCAUGUGAUGUUGAAACACAAGUUCCUGUAUGAUCACUGAAGUUAAGCAAUGCCAAGCCUGGUCAGUACCUAGAUGUGUAACUUCUUGGGAAUAGCAGGUACUGUAAG